UACGUAGGUCCCGAGCGUUGUCCGGAUUUAUUGGGCGUAAAGCGAGCGCAGGUGGUUCAUUAAGUCUGGUGUAAAAGGCAGUGGCUCAACCAUUGUAUGCAUUGGAAACUGGUAGACUUGAGUGCAGGAGAGGAGAGUGGAAUUCCAUGUGUAGCGGUGAAAUGCGUAGAUAUAUGGAGGAACACCGGUGGCGAAAGCGGCUCUCUGGCCUGUAACUGACACUGAGGCUCAAAAGCGUGGGGAGCAAACAGG
Molecule: ribosomal RNA, 252 nt
Filed under: uncultured bacterium
Lineage: Bacteria
Description: partial 16S ribosomal RNA
Rfam family: Bacterial small subunit ribosomal RNA
Source: RNAcentral